UUAACUGAAGUCCCCUUUUCCAGAUUGGCAACCCUCCUGCUCCCAGAGUGCCUGACUCUUACUGUCCAUCGGGAAGGCUAAAGCACAGAUCUCCACAUGGACAGGUCAAGUCAAAGGUCUACGCACUGACCAGGAAGUCAAAAGGAAUGUUUGCAUGGGAUACCACGAUGGCUGUCCCCUUCAUGGAAACACGUCAUGUAUGAUUGGUCCUUUAAGGCUUCAGUCUCUUUACUGGUCCCCAACAUGGACUCCUUUCUUUUGCAUCCCGGCUCUCUGGAUGGAUGCUCGGCUUGCUGACAAACCAUAGGAGCUGUGAUCAUAAAAUGCUUCAGACCAUCAAACAUCCGUGGUGAGGUUGAGGCCACCUACUCGAUAAAACUGAUGGUUCCCAGGGUGGCAACUAUACAGACAUUUUACAGAGCUACAAAGCCAACAUCUUUGGCUUGCAAUGAAUGUGUUAGCCAUGUUCUAAGCCCUAGGACACAGGUUCUCCCAUGACGUAAAAGGGCAGGUGAGGCUAAGUGGGCGUGGCGCAAGCACAGGACUGGAGCAGCUAAGACCACAAACACCAGAAACAACAUGCUCGGAUCUAAGGAGGAGCUCUUACGUUCUUCUCAAAGUUUUCAAGGGAAGGAAGAUUUCAAGCUUGGGGGAAGACUCAACAGAAUUUCGAUCUCGUCUUUCAAGUCCUUGCUGAAGGAAAAGAAGAAGUCAAAAUUUUCUCUAUUUAGACUCCCAGCAAAACAGAUCCUGCUUGUUUUAAAGGCAUUAGUGCUCGCCCUGUUUGAAAGAGAACAGAAUCCAUGAGAACUCAAGUCCCAGUACCGUCCAGGGGGAUCCCCAGGAAGAGCGUGUUAGAAGUGUCCAGCAUGAUGUGUCUCAUGAGGGUCACCACGUCCACGUAGCCCGAGUUGUCA
This is a non-coding RNA of Rattus norvegicus (Norway rat), 917 nucleotides long. NCBI's taxonomy places the organism in Eukaryota, Metazoa, Chordata, Mammalia, Rodentia, Muridae. The record is from RefSeq and is a predicted model, not a curated record.